GACGAGUGGGUCGGCAAGCUCAUGGGGGUCAACAAGAUGCUGGCCGUGCGCAUCCUCGAAGUCCGCAAGGCCUAUGCGGAGAUGGACUUCGACUGGACCAAGCUGCAGGCGCUCGCGAUGGAAGAGAUGGAGGAGGGGGGCGACAGGA
RNAcentral lists this small nuclear RNA (148 nucleotides) under Nephroselmis pyriformis. RNAcentral describes it as "partial Dictyostelium signal recognition particle". Lineage: Eukaryota; Viridiplantae; Chlorophyta; Nephroselmidophyceae; Nephroselmidales; Nephroselmidaceae. The record is from RNAcentral.